GACGAACGCUGGCGGCGUGCCUAACACAUGCAAGUCGAACGGAGAUACGCGCUGAUUCGAAGGUAGCUUGCUACUGGACUUUCUUGUGUAUCUUAGUGGCGGACGGGCGAGUAACGCGUGAGGAACCUGCCUUUCAGAGGGGAAUAACGAACGGAAACGUUCGCUAAUACCGCAUAACGUAUUUUUUCUGCAUGGAAGAGAUACCAAAGGAGCAAUCCGCUGAGAGAUGGCCUCGCGUCCGAUUAGUUAGUUGGCGGGGUAACGGCCCACCAAGACGACGAUCGGUAGCCGAACUGAGAGGUUGAUCGGCCGCAUUGGGACUGAGACACGGCCCAGACUCCUACGGGAGGCAGCAGUGGGGGAUAUUGCACAAUGGAGGAAACUCUGAUGCAGCAACGCCGCGUGAGGGAAGAAGGCCUCGG
RNAcentral lists this ribosomal RNA (422 nucleotides) under uncultured bacterium. Its description in RNAcentral is "bacterial SSU rRNA". It matches the Rfam family "Bacterial small subunit ribosomal RNA", at positions 28 to 420 of the family's 1533-position model. The record is from RNAcentral.